RNAcentral lists this ribosomal RNA (460 nucleotides) under uncultured bacterium. Its description in RNAcentral is "partial 16S ribosomal RNA". It matches the Rfam family "Bacterial small subunit ribosomal RNA", at positions 338 to 795 of the family's 1533-position model. The record is from RNAcentral.
CCUACGGGAGGCAGCAGUGAGGAAUAUUGGUCAAUGGACGAGAGUCUGAACCAGCCAAGUAGCGUGAAGGAUGACUGCCCUAUGGGUUGUAAACUUCUUUUAUAUGGGAAUAAAAUGUUCCACGUGUGGGAUUUUGUAUGUACCAUAUGAAUAAGGAUCGGCUAACUCCGUGCCAGCAGCCGCGGUAAUAAGGAGGAUCCGAGCGUUAUCCGGAUUUAUUGGGUUUAAAGGGAGCGUAGGUGGAUUGUUAAGUCAGUUGUCAAAGUUUGCGGCUCAACCGUAAAAUUGCAGUUGAAACUGGCAGUCUUGAGUACAGUAGAGGUGGGCGGAAUUCGUGGUGUAGCGGUGAAAUGCUUAGAUAUCACGAAGAACUCCGAUUGCGAAGGCAGCUCACUGGACUGCAACUGACACUGAGGCUCGAAAGUGUGGGUAUCGAACAGGAUUAGAUACCCGUGUAGGC